GGCGACGUAGCCAAGUGGCAAGGCAGAGGUUUGCAAAACCUUCAUUCGUGGGUUCGAAUCCCACCGUCGCCU
RNAcentral lists this transfer RNA (72 nucleotides) under Chloroflexota bacterium. RNAcentral describes it as "Chloroflexi bacterium tRNA-Cys". It matches the Rfam family "tRNA". Rfam says of the family: Transfer RNA (tRNA) molecules are approximately 80 nucleotides in length. Their secondary structure includes four short double-helical elements and three loops (D, anti-codon, and T loops). Lineage: Bacteria; Bacillati; Chloroflexota. The record is from RNAcentral.